UAAGCAUAUCACUAAGGGGAGGAAAAGAAACUAACAAGGAUUCCCUGAGUAACGGCGAGUGAAACGGGACGAGCCCAGCGCCAAAUCCCCUGUCCUUUGCGGGCAGCGGGAACUGUGGCGUGCAGGACAAUCUAUGGUGUGACUUCGAGCGUCCAAGUCCUCCUGAUCGGGGCCUUUCCCAUGGCGGGUGUCAGGCCUCUAGAGGCGCUUGUCGUCGCUCCUCUGAGCGUCCUUGGAGUCGGGUUGCUUGGGACUGCAGCCCAAAGC
Molecule: ribosomal RNA, 267 nt
Filed under: Americonuphis reesei
Lineage: Eukaryota; Metazoa; Annelida; Polychaeta; Eunicida; Onuphidae
Description: partial 28S ribosomal RNA
Rfam family: Eukaryotic large subunit ribosomal RNA
Source: RNAcentral